UACGUAGGUGGCAAGCGUUAUCCGGAAUUAUUGGGCGUAAAGAGCGCGCAGGUGGUUGAUUAAGUCUGAUGUGAAAGCCCACGGCUUAACCGUGGAGGGUCAUUGGAAACUGGUCGACUUGAGUGCAGAAGAGGGAAGUGGAAUUCCAUGUGUAGCGGUGAAAUGCGUAGAGAUAUGGAGGAACACCAGUGGCGAAGGCGACUUUCUGGUCUAUUAUUGACGCUGAGGCUCGAAAGCAUGGGUAGCAAACAGGAUUAGA
This 259-nucleotide ribosomal RNA is filed under the name uncultured prokaryote. Its description in RNAcentral is "partial 16S ribosomal RNA". It matches the Rfam family "Bacterial small subunit ribosomal RNA", at positions 524 to 782 of the family's 1533-position model. The record is from RNAcentral.